GGUUAGUUAUCCUUUUAACCAAAGAGUGUGGUGACACUGGUAUGGCAUACAGGUGAGAUGUAAAGGUACAUCGUCACUGAACAGGUGACUCACCUGCUGAGCAUCUACUGUCAAGAACUGCUUGCAAAGCAUAUGGGUAUAAGUAUCUUUCAGAUAUGAGAUCACCAUAAUGACUUGCAAGCAACUCACUGUGCUUUGGUGCCGGACUAUUUGGAUUUCUAAUGAAAUGAUGGAAGGCUACUGGGUACAGUCAAAUAUUUGCGAAGUCUGUUUGUGAUUCAAGAUGGGAUUGACCCCUCCGAAUUAUUGAAGUUGAUGUAUCGUUGUAUUUUAAUUUUGUAAAGCCUUGGCCAGGAUAAUCUAUGAGAUGGAUUUGAAAGAUUGAAAUACAAUAUAGAUGUAGCGAUCUCGGUUGACAGUUAACCUGAGACCACCCUAGAGCAUUCAGGAUCAAAAAGAUGAAUUAUGCGGUAACCAUGUGCAUGGAUUUUAGAAUAUUCUUUUAUGAUAAUUCGACCUAUCAGGACAUCAAAAACCAUUGUUAGAUGGUAUCUCGAUUAGUGCAGACAUUGGUUCCUGUGCUAUCGGCUUAGUGUUUGAACCUAUGAAGUCACGCACAUAAGUCAGACAAAGUAGGAAGGAAUUGAUCUAUGUUUAUAUGUCCAAUCUGAAAGUACUUGACUUGAUUGAAUAUAUAAGCUAACUUGAUUGAGAAUUGAGUUAUGGAUCAAACGGGAUUGAAAAGUUGACUAUGUCUAGCUAGUACUACACACGAGAUUCAGGUUCAAUCCCGGAGAUGAACAAUUUCUAUCUAUGAUCCAUAGAAUAUAUGAAAGAUUGAAUUUAAGUGCUAAUUAAUUUUAGAUUAGAUCUGAAUUAAUUAGGCUUAAAUAGGUCC
RNAcentral lists this long non-coding RNA (898 nucleotides) under Elaeis guineensis (African oil palm). RNAcentral describes it as "long non-coding RNA (EGUI_LNC071049)". The record is from RNAcentral. Lineage: Eukaryota; Viridiplantae; Streptophyta; Magnoliopsida; Arecales; Arecaceae.